CAAAGUCUUGGUCCUGAACUUGACAUUACUUAAAGCUACCACUACACAUGCUAGUAUCCGCACACCAGUGCCUACGCCUAACCACACAUCAAAAAGAGCCGGUAUCAGGCACCCCACUUAUAGUGGCAGCCCAAGACGCCUAGCACAUGCCACACCCUCACGGAACCCAGCAGUGACAAACAUUAGGCAAUAAGCCCACACGCUCGACCUAGGUACAGCCACACAUCAGAGCCGGUAAACCCCGUGCCAGCCACCGCGGUUAUACGGCGGACUCAAAGUAACUACCAACGGCGUAAAAUGUGACUAGAGACCAAACCUGCACCACAGGGCACACAACCCAGACACAGUUGUAGAACACUCAUGUCUGACCCAAAUCAUAACCACCCACUAAUCAGGCCUGACUUGACCACACGAAAACUAAGACACAAACUAGGAUUAGAUACCCUACUAUGCUUAGCCGUAAACCCAGAUGGCCAUGCAACCAGCCAUCCGCCAGAGAAUUACAAGCGAAAAGCCUGAAACUCAAAGGACUUGACGGUGUUCCACACCCACCUAGAGGAGCCUGUCCUAUAAUCGAUACCCCACGAUACACCUUACCAACCCUAGUCAAUGCAGCCUAUAUACCGCCGUCGCCAGCCUACCCCAUGAGGGCCACAAUAGUAAACAAAACAGUCACACACUAAAACGUCAGGUCAAGGUGUAGCUCAUGAGUUGGCAGAGAUGGGCUACAUUUUCUUAUGAAGAAAAUAACGGACUACAACAUGAAAACCCUGCCACAAGGAGGAUUUAGCAGUAAACUAGGCAAGAAUGCCACGUUGAAACUAGCUCUGGAACGCGUACACACCGCCCGUCACCCUCAUCCAAAACCAACCACCCUAUAAAUAAUAACCACAUUAAAAUCAAGAUGAGACAAGUCGUAACAUGGUAAGCGUACUGGAAAGUGCGCUUGGAAGAU
Molecule: non-coding RNA, 955 nt
Filed under: Cyrtodactylus louisiadensis
Lineage: Eukaryota; Metazoa; Chordata; Lepidosauria; Squamata; Gekkonidae
Description: small ribosomal RNA subunit RNA
Rfam family: Bacterial small subunit ribosomal RNA
Source: RNAcentral